UACACCUCAAUUACCGGAAUAUAAACACAGACUCAGCUACUUGUACAAUUUACUGUGACAUUUAAGUAUGCAGCAGACGGGACUCAUGAAUUUUCUUUGGU
Sapajus apella (tufted capuchin) is the source of this 101-nucleotide long non-coding RNA. RefSeq lists it as uncharacterized. The transcript is spliced from 3 exons. Lineage: Eukaryota; Metazoa; Chordata; Mammalia; Primates; Cebidae. The record is from RefSeq and is a predicted model, not a curated record.